UUAGUCUUUGUUGUUAUUGAUAACCGCAAAUGAAUAAUAAUUUGUAUAGGGGCAAGUAAAUAUUGACUGUGGGCAUAUACAUUUCUGGGUCAAGCAAGGGAAAAAAAUCAUUAAUGUUUAACCCUGCAUCCACCAUGCUUAGGUACCGUUAUGCAAAACACAGAAUCCCUACCAGCUUCUGGGCUGCCGUUCUGAAGCUGACCCCUGACCUCUGACCUCCCUGUUCAAGGGGGCCAAAGAAAACAGAGGCAACAAAUUAGUAUGCAUGUGUCAAAUAAUAUGGCUGAACCAGGCAAAUGUACACUCUUCUCUGCAUCUUCAGAGCUUUUUUAGUUCUCCAACAUAUCACCCUAUAAACUGCUGAUGAAGGAAAGGGGGAAAUAGUGUACAGUAUAUCUGCUAUAUUUGGUCAAAUCCAAGCCUGGAAUGCAACGCCCCUCUUUGUCCUGCAAAUCACAUUGUCAGGCUGUCUGCUAUAUUAGGAUGUUGACAUCUGUGUCAGGAUGUUGAACACACACACACACGUGAACUAAUGAGCUUAACCGAUUCAUAUCAACAUGUGUUUCCAAUGGAGGUUAGGGCCGAGGUCACAGGGCAGGGCAAAGCAAAUGGUGAACGCACGAGCACACUUCCUGGUUAUCUAUAUGCGAACAAUAACCGUCUCUCACUGCUACACACACACAAAAGCAUACUAUAUCCAAGCAUCUGUUUUGCAGUGGCAACCAAAUGAAUAGUACAUGUCAUACAGCAGAGAAGAGAAUUUCUUACAUUCCAAUGAUGUCAUUUCUACCCUUCCUUCCUAUGACCUCAUCAGUACUGUAAUUACAUACAUACAGAGAAAUAAGGAGGGGGAGCGGUGGUGAGAGAUGAUGGUGAAAUUGUAGAAAAGAUAGAUGGGGGGUAGCCUCAAGGUUAGAGACACAGAUUUGUGAUGUAAGAUCAGUAGUAUGAAAACACAGAUCAGCUGGAAAUGUUCAAUACAAUUGAGGCCAAUGGUAGAAGGUUAUCUUCUACAGUAUAUGUGAAGGUAUAAACCCAUGUGCCGGUAAUGAUAUAAUAGGGCUUUGCCAAGUGUUUUCUGAAUAAAAUGGUAAGACAUUAUCACAAAUACACUGAGUCACAACAUUACAAGAUGCACGGCAGUUAAUUCAAUUAGCGAAAUAUCCAGAUGAAUGAAAA
Sebastes umbrosus (honeycomb rockfish) is the source of this 1179-nucleotide long non-coding RNA. RefSeq lists it as uncharacterized. NCBI's taxonomy places the organism in Eukaryota, Metazoa, Chordata, Actinopteri, Perciformes, Sebastidae. The transcript has 2 exons. The record is from RefSeq and is a predicted model, not a curated record.